UUGAAAACAAAUGGGAUGUGCUGGCCUUCAAAACAGGCAUGUGCACUCCUUAUCAUCUUAACUAUCCACCUGUGCACACUUUGUAGACAUUGUCUUGGGACUCACCCUCCCAUCUUUGCCUACGCAUUUUUUAACUCCUUGCAAUACAUUCUUGCAUGUAGAAAUUUGUAAUAUGAAA
This 178-nucleotide unclassified non-coding RNA is filed under the name Clavaria macounii. RNAcentral's name for it is "internal transcribe spacer 1". Lineage: Eukaryota; Fungi; Basidiomycota; Agaricomycetes; Agaricales; Clavariaceae. The record is from RNAcentral.